This 465-nucleotide ribosomal RNA is filed under the name uncultured Gammaproteobacteria bacterium. RNAcentral describes it as "bacterial SSU rRNA". It matches the Rfam family "Bacterial small subunit ribosomal RNA", at positions 43 to 497 of the family's 1533-position model. Lineage: Bacteria; Pseudomonadati; Pseudomonadota; Gammaproteobacteria. The record is from RNAcentral.
CAUGCNUAACACAUGCAAGUCGAACGGAAACGAUGGAAGCUUGCUUCCAGGCGUCGAGUGGCGGACGGGUGAGUAAUACUUAGGAAUCUGCCCAGUAGUGGGGGACAACUCGAGGAAACUCGAGCUAAUACCGCAUACGCCCUACGGGGGAAAGCGGAGGAUCUUUCGGGACUUCGCGCUAUUGGAUGAGCCUAAGUCGGAUUAGCUUGUUGGUGAGGUAAAAGCUCACCAAGGCGACGAUCCGUAGCUGGUCUGAGAGGACGAUCAGCCACACUGGGACUGAGACACGGCCCAGACUCCUACGGGAGGCAGCAGUGGGGAAUAUUGGACAAUGGGCGCAAGCCUGAUCCAGCAAUGCCGCGUGUGUGAAGAAGGCCUGCGGGUUGUAAAGCACUUUCAGUAGAGAAGAAAAGCCUACGGUUAAUACCCGUGGGUCUUGACGUAACCUACAGAAGAAGCUCCGGC